Molecule: ribosomal RNA, 500 nt
Filed under: uncultured bacterium
Lineage: Bacteria
Description: partial 16S ribosomal RNA
Rfam family: Bacterial small subunit ribosomal RNA
Source: RNAcentral
AUUGAACGCUGGCGGAAUGCUUUACACAUGCAAGUCGAACGGCAGCACGGACUUCGGUCUGGUGGCGAGUGGCGAACGGGUGAGUAAUGUAUCGGAACGUGCCCAGUCGUGGGGGAUAACGUAGUGAAAAUUACGCUAAUACCGCAUACGAUCUAUGGAUGAAAGCGGGGGAUCGCAAGACCUCGCGCGAUUGGAGCGGCCGAUAUCAGAUUUGGUAGUUGGUGGGGUAAAGGCCCACCAAGCCAACGAUCUGUAGCUGGUCUGAGAGGACGACCAGCCACACUGGAACUGAGACACGGUCCAGACUCCUACGGGAGGCAGCAGUGGGGAAUUUUGGACAAUGGGCGAAAGCCUGAUCCAGCCAUUCCGCGUGCAGGAUGAAGGCCCUCGGGUUGUAAACUGCUUUUGUACAGAACGAAAAGGUUUCUACUAAUACUAGGAGCUCAUGACGGUACUGUAAGAAUAAGCACCGGCUAACUACGUGGCAGCAGCCGCCGUAA